GAGAAUCCACAGUUUCUUUUGAGUGAGAACCACCUAAUAUUCUAUCCUUCGUCUCUCUCGUUCCCUCUCUCUCCACCCAAUCCGCACGCCAAGAAGGGCAGCGGCAGCGAGCUGGUAGCCGGUAGCAGCCGCCAGUCGGUGGGGCCGUGCUCAAGCGUUCCCGUGCAGGCCAUGGCUACCGGCCUAGCGCAGGCGAUGACAACGCCCACAGCAAGGCCGCUGCACGGGCCAGGGGUUGCACGCUGUGCGCGAGGCCAAGCCACCGGGCGACACGGGCAGUGACGACCAUGACAAGGCUCACGUGCAGCUGUGAGGCUUCCGCGUGCAACGACAUCAGAGCAAGCACGAGCAAACUACCACGAGGCCGCGAGUAGCGGCGACAAGGUGCGCAGGGGAAGAGGCAGAACUCCCAUCCCGUCCUCUUCUCUCCAUCUUCUCGCUCAGAUAAUCUCUCCAAACAGUGAUUGCAAAUUGGAAUGUAAUGCAUAUACAGGUUAGCAAAUCUAAACUAGAUUUUGCAUAUUUCGUUGCGAGAUCCGGUCCAAUUUCCUUGCUUCGAUUUGACUUGAUUUAUUCCCGCUUCUGUUUUGUUUGCUCUAUCUUACUAUUACUGAGGCUCCUUUUGAAGCCUCCAGGUGAAGUGACUUAGGAUCCUAGGUGGACACUCUAGAAAAAGAGAGAAAUCCAAGAAAUUCUAAAAAAAAGCAAAAAAUCUAGCCAUCAAUCAGUAGACUCAAAUUAUCAUAGCUAUUGGAUCUAUCAUGUUUUCUAAAAAAGUACCCACCUAUACCAUUAUAUAAAAUAUACUCAAAUAACCCCCUAAUCUUCAUCAAAAUUACCCACUUUCACCAUUAUAAAAAAUAAUUUAAAAUAACACCCUAAAUCUGCAACUAAAUUACUCACCACUAAUAUUAUAAAAAAUAACUUACUUAACCCCUUAAAUUUCCAUCAAAAUUA
Molecule: long non-coding RNA, 957 nt
Filed under: Setaria viridis
Lineage: Eukaryota; Viridiplantae; Streptophyta; Magnoliopsida; Poales; Poaceae
Description: long non-coding RNA (SVIR_LNC004124)
Source: RNAcentral